UUGGUGUAGAGACCUGUGACGGAAGAGGGCGAGACCGGGACUGGGACCGGGACUGGGACCCAGCCCUCACCACUACCCCCACUGUCGGUGCUGGGACGGCAGCAGGCUGUGCAGGCACAUGUCUGACUUUUCGGCAGCUUCCUGGACCAGAAGCUGUGUUUCUACAGUGCGUUGAAUGUAAUACAAUCUCAUCUGGAAUGUUCCGGAAUGCUGGAAGGUAUGGAGGAGGAAGUAUGCGCGUGAGGGGAACAUGAUGGAAGCAGCGCACAACAGACCGGAGAACGGCCCGCUGAAACUCCAUCAUCAUGUUGUCGGUGGCGACGCUGAGCGGACGCCGGCCCUGUUCAUGCUGCCUUCGCUCGGAGUGGUCCAUGUCAGGAGAAGGCAUCGAGCUGUAGUUGGAGUUGUGGUUGGUGUGGAUCGGGCUGCCAUAGCUACCUGUCAGGUUGAACUCGAUGUCUGCAGGAGGGGAGAGGAGGAUGGAUGAAGAGCAGAACGGGUUGACCCUGGACGCUCAGGAUCGCAUCUCCAACGUGACCAUACCACGACCCGCGUGGAAAUGGUCACCGCAGUUCGGCUAGGCUACACUUACGCAAACAAGGCAGUGACUGAACAGAGACUCAAUCAACAACUGGAUCCAAUGAUGCCUGAGGAAGGUACGGUAAUAUGCCUGCCCACAUUGUUAUCGUGUGUGUGUGUGUGUGUGUGUGUGUGUG
Long non-coding RNA from Brienomyrus brachyistius, 716 nucleotides. RefSeq lists it as uncharacterized. NCBI's taxonomy places the organism in Eukaryota, Metazoa, Chordata, Actinopteri, Osteoglossiformes, Mormyridae. The record is from RefSeq and is a predicted model, not a curated record. The transcript has 5 exons.